AACGAACGCUGGCGGCAUGCCUAACACAUGCAAGUCGAACGAGACCUUCGGGUCUCGUGGCGCACGGGUGCGUAACGCGUGGGAACCUGCCCUUAGGUUCGGAAUCACAGUUAGAAAUGACUGCUAAUACCGGCUAAUGUCUUAGGACAAAAGAUUUAACGCCUUUGGAUGGGCCCGCGUAAGAUUAGGUAGUUGGUGGGGUAAUGGCCUACCCAGCCGACGAUCUUUAGCUGGUCUGAGAGGAUGAUCAGCCACACUGGGAACUGAGACACGGCCCAGACUCCUACGGGAGGCAGCAGUGGGGAAUAUUGGACAAUGGGCGAAAGCCUGAUCCAGCAAUGCCGCGUUAGUGAUGAAGGCCUUAGGGUUGUAAAGCUCUUUUACCAGGUAUGAUAAUGACAGUACCUGGAGAAUAAGCUCCGGCUAACUCCGUGCCAGCCGCCGCGGUAA
Molecule: ribosomal RNA, 450 nt
Filed under: uncultured bacterium
Lineage: Bacteria
Description: partial 16S ribosomal RNA
Rfam family: Bacterial small subunit ribosomal RNA
Source: RNAcentral